GCAAGGAGUAAUCCUAACAUCUUUCAAUCCUUCUAAUGCUUCUCGUCUUUGGAGAGGGUUGUGUGGAGUCAGGGAUAAGUUUAGGAGUGGAAUUCUUUGGAAUGUUGAAAGUAGCACGAAGGUGGAUUUUUGGCAUGUUAAUUGGCUUCAAGAUUGUGGACCCUUGAUUGAUAGUUGUACCCAGUUAUCAGAAGUUACUAAUGGCCAUGUGCCCGGUUAUAGUUAUGGUGACA
This 233-nucleotide long non-coding RNA is filed under the name Gossypium barbadense (sea-island cotton). RNAcentral's name for it is "long non-coding RNA (GBAR_LNC019432)". Lineage: Eukaryota; Viridiplantae; Streptophyta; Magnoliopsida; Malvales; Malvaceae. The record is from RNAcentral.